This 593-nucleotide ribosomal RNA is filed under the name Saccharomyces cerevisiae (brewer's yeast). RNAcentral describes it as "eukaryotic LSU rRNA". It matches the Rfam family "Eukaryotic large subunit ribosomal RNA", at positions 71 to 664 of the family's 3401-position model. Lineage: Eukaryota; Fungi; Ascomycota; Saccharomycetes; Saccharomycetales; Saccharomycetaceae. The record is from RNAcentral.
GGGAUUGCCUUAGUAACGGCGAGUGAAGCGGCAAAAGCUCAAAUUUGAAAUCUGGUACCUUCGGUGCCCGAGUUGUAAUUUGGAGAGGGCAACUUUGGGGCCGUUCCUUGUCUAUGUUCCUUGGAACAGGACGUCAUAGAGGGUGAGAAUCCCGUGUGGCGAGGAGUGCGGUUCUUUGUAAAGUGCCUUCGAAGAGUCGAGUUGUUUGGGAAUGCAGCUCUAAGUGGGUGGUAAAUUCCAUCUAAAGCUAAAUAUUGGCGAGAGACCGAUAGCGAACAAGUACAGUGAUGGAAAGAUGAAAAGAACUUUGAAAAGAGAGUGAAAAAGUACGUGAAAUUGUUGAAAGGGAAGGGCAUUUGAUCAGACAUGGUGUUUUGUGCCCUCUGCUCCUUGUGGGUAGGGGAAUCUCGCAUUUCACUGGGCCAGCAUCAGUUUUGGUGGCAGGAUAAAUCCAUAGGAAUGUAGCUUGCCUCGGUAAGUAUUAUAGCCUGUGGGAAUACUGCCAGCUGGGACUGAGGACUGCGACGUAAGUCAAGGAUGCUGGCAUAAUGGUUAUAUGCCGCCCGUCUUGAAACACGGACCUCCUGUGUGAA